Molecule: long non-coding RNA, 1894 nt
Organism: Homo sapiens (human)
Lineage: Eukaryota; Metazoa; Chordata; Mammalia; Primates; Hominidae
Gene: PLEKHA8P1
Product: pleckstrin homology domain containing A8 pseudogene 1
Source: Ensembl
UUCCCCGGUUUUACGAGGCGCGCAGAAGGAAGUCGGCAGGCGAGACUGCAGAGGGAGUAGUGCGAUCCUGCGCGCGGGGGAACUAGCUGGAGGGCAAGGCGGGAACACCAUCUAUUGUUGGGGUGAUCGGACCUAACACCAGGUUGUGGGGACAACGAAGUCCAGAAGAGUGAAAGGAAUGAGAAAAGACAGUUUGAGAGAGAAAGUGGGCCCAGGGGGCCAAUGCGAGUAUGGAGGCUGUGAAGGCCCCGAGCCCUGGAAGCCCAGACUAUUUAUUGGUGAUCAAACAAAGAAACAGGGGAAUAUUGUCCUAUUAUGAUUCUCCUGAAGAUGCCUGGAAAGGUUGCAAAGGGAGCAUACAAAUGGCAGUCUGUGAAAUUGAAGUUCAUUCUGUAGAUAAUACAUGCAUGGACCUGAUAAUCCCCGGGGAACAGUAUUUCUACCUGAAGGCCAGAAGUGUGCCUGAAAGAUAGCGGCGGCUGGUGGCCCUGGGAUCAGCCAAGGCUUGCCUGACUGACAGUAGGACCCAGAAGGAUAAAGAGUUUGCUGAAAACACUGAAAACUUGAAAACCAAAAUGUCAGAACUAAGACUCUGCUGUGACCUCCUUGUUCAGCAAGUAGAUAAAACAAAAGAAGUGACCACAACUGGUGUGUCCAAUUCUGAGGAGGGAAUUGAUGUGGGAACUUUGCUGAAAUCAACCUGUAAUACUUUUCUGAAGACCUUGGAAGAAUGCAUGCAGAUUGCAAAUGCAGCCUUCACCUCUGAGCUGCUCUACCACACUCCACCAGGAUCACCACAGCUGGCCAUGCUCAAGUCCAGCAAGAUGAAACAUCCUAUUAUACCAAUUCAUAAUUCAUUGGAAAGGCAAACGGAGUUGAGCACUUGUGAAAAUGGAUCUUUAAAUAUGGAAAUAAAUGGUGAGGAAGAAAUCCUAAUGAAAAAUAAGAAUUCCUUAUAUUUGAAAUCUGCAGAGAUAGACUGCAGCAUAUCAAGUGAGGAAAAUACAGAUGAUAAUAUAACCGUCCAAGGUGAAAUAAUGAAGGAAGAUAGAAUGGAAAACCUGAAAAAUCAUGACAAUAACUUGUCUCAGUCUGGAUCAGACUCAAGUUGCUCUCCAGAAUGCCUCUGGGAGGAAGGCAAAGAAGUUAUCCCAACUUUCUUUAGUACCAUGAACACAAGCUUUAGUGACAUUGAACUUCUGGAAGACAGUGGCAUUCCCACAGAAGCAUUCUUGGCAUCAUGUUGUGCUGUGGUUCCAGUAUUAGACAAACUUGGCCCUACAGUGUUUGCUCCUGUUAAGAUGGAUCUUGUUGAAAAUAUUAAGAAAGUAAAUCAGAAGUAUAUAACCAACAAAGAAGAGUUUACCACUCUCCAGAAGAUAGUGCUGCACGAAGUGGAGGCGGAUGUAGCCCAGGUUAGGAACUCAGCGACUGAAGCCCUCUUGUGGCUGAAGAGAGGUCUCAAAUUUUUGAAGGGAUUUUUGACAGAAGUGAAAAAUGGGGAAAAGGAUAUCCAGACAGCCCUGAAUAACGCAUAUGGUAAAACAUUGCGGCAACACCAUGGCUGGGUAGUUCGAGGGGUUUUUGCGUUAGCUUUAAGGGCAACUCCAUCCUAUGAAGAUUUUGUGGCCGCGUUAACCGUAAAGGAAGGUGACCACCGGAAAGAAGCUUUCAGUAUUGGGAUGCAGAGGGACCUCAGCCUUUACCUCCCUGCCAUGAAGAAGCAGAUGGCCAUACUGGACGCUUUAUAAGAGGUCCAUGGGCUGGAAUCUGAUGAGGUUGUAUGAUGGCUGCUGGGCAGCACCUCCUAACUUCAGGGAAUAAAGUGCUAAAGUGUAAAAAAAAAUAAAAAUAAAAAUAAAUAAAUAAAUAAAAUUAAAAAAAAUAAAAACCA